RNAcentral lists this ribosomal RNA (322 nucleotides) under uncultured Bacteroidota bacterium. RNAcentral's name for it is "bacterial SSU rRNA". It matches the Rfam family "Bacterial small subunit ribosomal RNA", at positions 28 to 351 of the family's 1533-position model. The record is from RNAcentral. Lineage: Bacteria; Pseudomonadati; Bacteroidota.
GAUGAACGCUAGCGGCAGGCUUAACACAUGCAAGUCGAGGGGUAUCACGCUUUCGGGCGUGAGAGACCGGCGCACGGGUGCGUAACGCGUAUGCAAUCUACCUUUUGCAGAGGGAUAGCCCAGAGAAAUUUGGAUUAAUACCUCAUAGUAUAGUACAAUCGCAUGAUUGAACUAUUAAAGUCACAACGGCAAAAGAUGAGCAUGCGUCCCAUUAGUUAGUUGGUAAGGUAACGGCUUACCAAGACUACGAUGGGUAGGGGUCCUGAGAGGGAGAUCCCCCACACUGGUACUGAGACACGGACCAGACUCCUACGGGAGGCUG